UCGAGAAUUUUUCACAAUGGGCGAAAGCCUGAUGGAGCGACGCCGCGUGGGGGAUGAAUGGCUUCGGCCCGUAAACCCCUGUCAUUCGCGAGCAAACGUUAUUAUUUAAAAGAUGAUAGCCUGAUAGUAGCGAAAGAGGAAGGGACGGCUAACUCUGUGCCAGCAGCCGCGGUAAUACAGAGGUCCCAAGCGUUGUUCGGAUUUACUGGGCGUAAAGGGUGCGUAGGUGGUGGGGUAAGUCGGAUGUGAAAGCUCCGAGCUCAACUCGGAAAGUGCAUUGGAAACUACCCUGCUCGAGGGUUGGAGGGGGGACUGGAAUACUUAAUGUAGCAGUGAAAUGCGUAGAUAUCAAGUGGAACACCAGUGGCGAAGGCGAGUCCCUGGACAACUCCUGACACUGAGGCACGAAAGCUAGGGGAGCAAACAGGA
Molecule: ribosomal RNA, 429 nt
Filed under: uncultured bacterium
Lineage: Bacteria
Description: bacterial SSU rRNA
Rfam family: Bacterial small subunit ribosomal RNA
Source: RNAcentral